Non-coding RNA from Physeter macrocephalus (sperm whale), 72 nucleotides. The record is from the annotation of a RefSeq genome assembly. Lineage: Eukaryota; Metazoa; Chordata; Mammalia; Artiodactyla; Physeteridae.
UCCCUGGUGGUCCAGUGGUAAGACUCCACACUCCUAAUGCAGGGGGCCCAGGUUCAAUCCCUGGUCGGGGAA